UCCGGCCUCUUUCUACUUGCCAACUUGAACAAAACAACAAACCUGAUAUUUUUCUUCCUUCUCCUCCACCUCACAAUUCUUCUACCGAAAUUCCAUAUCAAACAUUUUUUUCGCUUUUAAUAAUCACCACCUAUAUAAUAUUUCUCAUUCUCAAUAUCGUUUGUCUCUCUCAAUGGCUCUGAAAAUGCUGCUAAGAAGCUCUUCAACACCGGUUCUUGGAUCCCUUCUCUCAUCUUUCUCAGACACUCCUAACAGUCUUGAUACCAAAAAGCACUACUCCAUUCACCACCAAACCUUCAGUAGCAGUAGGUCUCCUUUUCACCAAAAUGGCUGUCUCCAUCUCAACACUGUCUCUUGCAACUCCUCUCCCAUCUCUCCUUCUAUUGCUGAAUUCUCUGACUAUUCCCUUAAAGGUCUUCGUCGAGCUCAGUCUGAAGGUAACCUUGAAGGACUGGCUUAUGUUUCUUGCAGUAAUAAAGAAGAAUGCCCAAAUUCAAGCCUGCCCAAGAAGGUUUCAGCCAGACAAAAGUGUUUGAUGUUAGAAACUAUACCCUCGUUUUCGCUCUGUAAUUUGAGAGGUCGCUAUGAAGAAGAGGAUGAUGAGGAUUAUGAUGGGAGUAACUUAGCAGACGAGGAAGAGAGAAAACAAGUGGAAGCAAAUGCGGCAAGGGAAAGUGCUCCCAUUGGCUUAGGUAAUAAGAUGGAGAACAUGAUUUUGAGUGAGCAAGUGGGGGUACUUGCGGAUGGCAGCUUGAAUGUGGGUUUUGAAUGGGAAAGAUGAUUGAUGAUUAGUGAAGAAAUGUAUCUUGCAAGACGGCUAGGAAUUGAUGGUGGUAGCAAUAAUGGAACUGGCGGCGGAGGUGGUUCUGGCGGCAAAGGCGAUGGUGGUGGUGGUGGUGGGGAAUUUCAUUGGGGAGGUGGAGAUGGUGGAGAUAUGGGUGGCACAGAAGAGUAUUAUAAGAACAUGCUGCAGGAAAAUCCUGGCAACUCCUUGUUUCUGAGGAAUUAUGCACAAUAUCUGUAUCAGUCAAAGGGAGAUCUUCAAGGCGCAGAAGAGUAUUACUCACGAGCUAUUUAGCAGAUCCUAAAGAUGGUGAAGUUCUAUCACAGUAUGCGAAGUUAAUAUGGGAGUUGCAUCAUGAUCAAGAAAGAGCUUCAACCUACUUUGAAGGGGCAGUUCAAGCUUCUCCUGAAGAUAGCCAUGUACAUGCAGCCUAUGCAAGAUUCCUAUGGGAAACAGAGGAAGAUGAUGACGAGUGUAACGCGCCAAGAGAUUUUGAUGCCAUGCCCCACAUUUCCAUCAAGACCUAAUGACUUCUACUGGUUCUUGAUGGCAAGAGUGAGCGGCAGCACACAGACAUUGUCAGGAGGGGUAUGUUGGAGAAAAUGAGCAGCAGUGCAUAACUCUUACGUGCCAUGACACACACUGAGAUAUUCCUUUUCCCAAUUGCGAUGCAGUUAUAAAUUAAUGUUUGAUAUAGUUAUACGCUGAUUGGAGAGUCCUUACAGCUUGCCACAGCGUAAAUCUGACACCUUGUGAUGAUUUCAAUAUUGGAAUAAACUUGAUGGACUCGCCGUGAAAAAGUUCUAUGUAUUUGGCUAACGAUCGAGUCACAACCAAGUCACCUAUGAAACAACCCUGACCAUACAGAACUUUGAAACAAUGAUGCAGAGCUAAGGAAGAUUAUGUUCAACCACAAAUAUCCAAACCCAGAAUUUCAUUUUAAUCAUCUAAAAACUAUCUGACCCCAUCCCCAAUCUUUUACCUCAGUUUAUGGCAUUCCUCUUCAAUGAAUUCCAGAACUUGAUUUUAAAUUAAACGUCUUGGAUUAGAACUGA
Molecule: RNA transcript, 1839 nt
Organism: Hevea brasiliensis (rubber tree)
Lineage: Eukaryota; Viridiplantae; Streptophyta; Magnoliopsida; Malpighiales; Euphorbiaceae
Exons: 3
Source: RefSeq, a predicted model, not a curated record